UGGGGAAUAUUGGACAAUGGGGGGAACCCUGAUCCAGCAAUGCCGCGUGUGUGAAGAAGGCCUGAGGGUUGUAAAGCACUUUCAGAGGGGAGGAGGACUAUUAGGUUAAGAGCUAGAUAGUUGGACGUUACCCUCAGAAGCAGCACCGGCUAACUCCGUGCCAGCAGCCGCGGUAAUACGGGGGAUCCUAGCGUUGUUCGGAAUUAUUGGGCGUAAAGCGGGUGUAGGCGGACUUAUAAGUCAGGUGUGAAAUCCCAGGGCUCAACCCUGGAAGUGCACUUGAUACUGCAAGUCUUGAGUGUGGUAGAGGCUAUUAGAAUUCCUGGUGUAGUGGUGAAAUACGUAGAUAUCAGGAGGAACAUCAGUGGCGAAGGCGGCCCUCUGGUCCAGUACUGACACUCAAGUGCGAAAGCGUGGGGAGCAAACAGGAUUAGAUACCCCGGUAGUCCCUGAGCGGGCUGGCAAGGCGCAU
Molecule: ribosomal RNA, 472 nt
Filed under: uncultured bacterium
Lineage: Bacteria
Description: bacterial SSU rRNA
Rfam family: Bacterial small subunit ribosomal RNA
Source: RNAcentral